CCUACGGGUGGCAGCAGUGGGGAAUAUUGCGCAAUGGGCGAAAGCCUGACGCAGCGACGCCGCGUGAGGGAUGAAGGUCUUCGGAUCGUAAACCUCUGUCAGCAGGGAAGCACGGUCACUGUGCUAAUCAGCAGUGACUUGACGGUACCUGCAAAGGAAGCACCGGCUAACUCCGUGCCAGCAGCCGCGGUAAUACGGAGGGUGCGAGCGUUAAUCGGAAUUACUGGGCGUAAAGCGCUCGUAGGCGGUAGGUCAAGUCCAGGGGUAAAUCCCCGCGCUCAACGUGGGAACUGCCUUUGAAACUGGCAAACUGGAGUGUGUGAGAGGAUAGUGGAAUUCCAGGUGUAGGAGUGAAAUCCGUAGAUAUCUGGAGGAACAUCAGUGGCGAAGGCGACUAUCUGGCACAUAACUGACGCUGAGGAGCGAAAGCGUGGGUAGCAAACAGGAUUAGAUACCCCUGUAGUC
This 465-nucleotide ribosomal RNA is filed under the name uncultured bacterium. RNAcentral's name for it is "partial 16S ribosomal RNA". It matches the Rfam family "Bacterial small subunit ribosomal RNA", at positions 338 to 795 of the family's 1533-position model. The record is from RNAcentral.